This 575-nucleotide ribosomal RNA is filed under the name Corallosporopsis capillitionodosa. RNAcentral's name for it is "SSU rRNA". It matches the Rfam family "Eukaryotic small subunit ribosomal RNA", at positions 20 to 547 of the family's 1831-position model. Lineage: Eukaryota; Evosea; Eumycetozoa; Stemonitida; Stemonitidae. The record is from RNAcentral.
GUAGUGUAUGCUUUUCCUGAAGACUAAGCCAUGCAUGCCUCCGACGAAGAGGAACAUCUCUCUGAAUCUGCGAACGGCUCCGCAAACCAGUUGUAAACCAUAGCAAAGUCCUGCCCGGGUCCUUUCACCGGGACUCGCGGCAAAUCCAAGGAAGUAGAUGGAUAUCCCUGGUAAUUCUGAGGCUAAUACAUGAACGUCACCUCACCCCGGCCGGGCCACCGACGCGGGUGAGCGUGCGAGAAACAGCUGGCAAACAGCUCUCGAAAGAACGCACGCUUUGACCACCGCCAAAGGAACAAUGCCGUCGUGCACAUUCCUGGUGGUCUUUGCAGCGGGCUUCUGACCUAUCAACUAGACGGCAGCGUAAGGGACAUGCUAUGGUGACAACGGGUACAGAGGAUUAGGGUUCGAUCCUGGAGAGUGGGCCUGAGAGAUUGCUCAUACUUCUAAGGAAGGCAGCAGGCGCGCAACGUUCCCCCUGGGCAACGCUCGAGGGCGUUACGGGAAAUAUGAAUGCUUGCCUUUACGGUAGGCAAUUCAAAUGGGUUUGUCGUAAACAAACUCUCGAGUAACAA